GACGAGCGCUGGCGGCGUGCUUAACACAUGCAAGUCGAACGGAAAGGCCUCUUUCGGGGGGUACUCGAGUGGCGAACGGGUGAGUAACACGUGAGUAACCUGCCCUUGACUUUGGGAUAACUUCAGGAAACUGGGGCUAAUACCGGAUAGGAGCUCCUGCUGCAUGGUGGGGGUUGGAAAGUUUCGGCGGUUGGGGAUGGACUCGCGGCUUAUCAGCUUGUUGGUGGGGUAGUGGCUUACCAAGGCUUUGACGGGUAGCCGGCCUGAGAGGGUGACCGGCCACAUUGGGACUGAGAUACGGCCCAGACUCCUACGGGAGGCAGCAGUGGGGAAUAUUGCACAAUGGGUGGAAGCCUGAUGCAGCAACGCCGUGUGCGGGAUGACGGCCCUCGGGUUGUAAACCGCUUUCGCUCAUGACGAAGCUUUGUGUGACGGUAGUGGGUAAAGAAGCACCGGCUAACUACGUG
Molecule: ribosomal RNA, 467 nt
Filed under: uncultured bacterium
Lineage: Bacteria
Description: partial 16S ribosomal RNA
Rfam family: Bacterial small subunit ribosomal RNA
Source: RNAcentral